RNAcentral lists this ribosomal RNA (468 nucleotides) under uncultured bacterium. RNAcentral's name for it is "partial 16S ribosomal RNA". It matches the Rfam family "Bacterial small subunit ribosomal RNA", at positions 28 to 507 of the family's 1533-position model. The record is from RNAcentral.
GACGAACGCUGGCGGCGUGCUUAACACAUGCAAGUCGAACGGAAAGACCCUGCUCUUGUGGCGCUCUCGAUUGGCGAACGGGGGAGUAACACGUGAGUAACCUGCCCUUGAAUUUGUGGUAAAUUUACGAAACUCGGGCGCAUACCGGAUAUGAUCUCCUGAUGCACGGGGGUGGAUGGUAAAUUUCGGUUGUUGGGGAUGGAUUCGCGGGUUAUCCGCUUGUUGGUGAGGUAGUGGCUUACCAAGCCUUUGACGGGUAGCCGGCCUGAGAGGGUGACCGGCGACAUUGGGCCUGAGAGAGGGCCCAGACUGGUACGGUAGGCAACAGUGGGGAAUCUUGACCAAUGGGCGGAAGCCUGAUGCAGCAGCGCCGCGUGCGGGAUGACGGCCUUCUGGGGGAAAACCGCUUUCGCCUGUAACGAAGCGUGAGUGACGGUAAUGGAUAAAGAAGCACCGGCUAACUACGUG